This 780-nucleotide small RNA is filed under the name Pongo abelii (Sumatran orangutan). RNAcentral describes it as "processed transcript". The record is from RNAcentral. Lineage: Eukaryota; Metazoa; Chordata; Mammalia; Primates; Hominidae.
CCAGGUAUGGUUCCAGAACAGGCGUGCCAAGUCUCGGCGUCAGAGUGGGAAAUCCUUCCAACCUUUGGCUAGGCCGGAGAUUAUCCUCAACCACUGUGCUCCUGGAACUGAAACGAAAUGUCUGAAGCCCCAGCUGCCUCUUGAGACAUUGGUUCAAAGCUGGACUCAUGGGAGGAACACAUCUUUUCUGCUUUUGGUAACUUUUGAGGAUUCUGGGAGAAUUCGGGAUACGCUCUGAGGAGCCAUGACUCACAGCCUGGGAGAGACACAUCAGCAUACUGUCCUGACUUCCAUGUUAAGGACAUGUCCUUGUUAACCUUGAUGAUGGUUUUGACAGCACCUCUCACAUUUGAAGGUACCCCGCCACUUUGUCAAUGACACUUUAAGCCCACACUCCCACCCCAGAGUUCCGGCAUUCGCUUUUACCUGUAUUCUCUCCAAGCCUGCACAUUCCAUUGGUCUGUAUCCCUAUGCCUUCUUGCCAGGCCUGUUUUUAGUUUUUGGACUGGUUGUUCAGAACUCAUUAUUUUCUUCACAAGAAUGCCUCAGCUUGACUCAGUUUCCCCUUGUGCUUGACAGCUGCCAUUUUCUCCUGGUCCCUCCAAGGCUUAUAAUCUUAAACUCACUCUACCCCGUCUCUUCAACCCUCAUCCUAGGUUUAUUACUUUUUAAAACUGGGCCUGUCAUCUUCACGUUCAAUCAUAGCUCCAAUGACUCUGCAUGCAGAUUAUUUCGACAGCCCCCUUGCCUCUAGCUUCUCAACUACUUAAAAAAAAUUAC